UACGGAGGGUGCAAGCGUUAAUCGGAAUUAUUGGGCGUAAAGGGCGCGUAGGCGGGACAGUAAGUCAGAUGUGAAAGCCCGAGGCUUAACCUCGGAACAGCAUCUGAAACUACUAUUCUAGAGGAUAGAUGGGGAAAACGGAAUUCCACAAGUAGCGGUGAAAUGCGUAGAUAUGUGGAAGAACACCAGUGGCGAAGGCGGUUUUCUAAUUUAUUCCUGACGCUGAGGCGCGAAAGCUAGGGGAGCAAACAGG
Molecule: ribosomal RNA, 253 nt
Filed under: uncultured bacterium
Lineage: Bacteria
Description: partial 16S ribosomal RNA
Rfam family: Bacterial small subunit ribosomal RNA
Source: RNAcentral